GUCGUCGUCUGUCUAGACCGUCUAGCUGUUUUCUUGAACUUGAGUUCUUCACUUCUUGUUCUUGUGUGCAUCAUUCAUUUCCCCUAAAGAAAAUCACUUACAAAUGCUUUUUUAAAUCACAGCAUACACAAUAUAUUUGGAGUAGUCUAGCAGCCAAAUCCAGCAGGUAAGGCUUCGGCAUUUCGACUGUACGUCCCACCAAUCAGUCAUAUUUCGAUAAGUCUUCGAGGGAAUUGUGGAAUCGUGAAGUAAAUCACACAACCGACACAUUCCCUCCCUGGUAUCGUCGGGGCCUACACUGGCAUAGUGCUUUUUCCACCAGAAAUAUUCAUUGUAUAGCGUGUCGUUUCCAUCUAGCAAAGUCAGAUAAUCGGCCAACUCCCUGACGGACUGAUAAUCGGCUGCGUUGAUGUGAGAGUGUGGGGGAGCCAUUCGUGCGUGGUGGCCGUGUAGAUCAAAGACGAUCGGAAUUAUGUGGUAGCGCAUCUGAUCGAAAAACUUUUCCGUGACAUAAUCUUCGCACAAAGUGUUUUCCAGUGAAAGGUAGAAUUUGUAAUCACGCUCCAGCAUUUGACGGCACAAUUCGGGAUUUGAACGAGAGCAACUCAUAUUCCCGCACUGCCCAUAGAUGUCGACAUCAAUGAAAGUUUUCAGGCGAUCGACGUAUUCGUUUCGAGCGCUUAAAGAUUUGCAAUUGGAGACGAACCAAGCCAGCUUCUUGGUUUUUCCAGUUGCGUAAUUGACUGCUGAAUCGAGAUGGGUUUCCUGCAAUAGUCGCGGUAAUGUCUGUGGAUCGAACUGUGACGAGUCAAAAAUAACGGCUUGAUUAGCGGACUUGAACCAGCCAUAUGGAUUGACAAUAUCCGAAUCUCUGCGGUACGUCAUUGUGCGAUUGAAAAACUUUGCCAUUGAUUUAGUGUCCACAAAUCUCCAUGCAGAUGACUCCAUACUUAAGAAGAUGUAGUGCUGAUGUGGCCAUCUUUUCAUGGGCACAUCGUUUGGCGUCCAACCGUGUUGAUGAAAGAUGAUAGCAUCGUAAUAUUUUAACGUAUCCCAAUCGACAAUACGCUCACGGUUGAUUAUGUCGCAUUGGUAUGGACAAUGUGAAAGGCGAAGGGCUUGACUGUCCGAUGAAAUACCGGCCGGUCCUUGUCCAACUCCGACUCUGAUGCGAUUUUGUCCUUUGCGCAAUGUGUAGUGUUCAUACCAGAAUAGAAUCUUUUUCACAGGCUCCUGACUAGGUUUGCCAUUAUUGUUGACAGAAAAUAACUUCUCGUUUUCUUCAUUUGUAUAGAAUGCCACUUUGUUGUAAAAUCGUGUCAAAAGAACAAUUAUCAAAAUUCCAACUACGAAGCGACGAUACUGUGACAUUUCGUUAGACCACUAAUAAAAACCAGAAAAUCAUUCCGAUUUCGUUUGCAAGCAAUGGGAAAACGCUAUAUGGUGCCUCUUACAUGUUCCCAGUUCUGCUUCAGACGGCGUGUCGUUUUCAAAUUAUGUUCGAUAGAUGUUGAAACAUAAAUUUACGACAAGAAGAAUAAGAAGGUAUUCAGUGUGCUUUAAAACGUCAAAGUCAACCAGAGGAACAACAUCACAAUAAGAGCCACCUGUCGCUGCUUUAGGAACCCUGAAACAGGUUUUAACCAGGUUUUAACUUUUAACGUAGCGACUGAAUACGGAACAUUUUCAUGUUUUGCCCCCGGCCAGGAAUAAUCCCCAACAGACUGGACGAAUGUGUAAACAUUGAUACACUUUCAGUUUUGUGCAUAGACCUUAUUAGAAUCCAAAGGUAUGAGUCAAACCGACAGUGCCGACACCCGAGCGUCGCGUUGUAGUGUGAAGGGGUGCCGUGAACAGAAGAUUUUUAUUUGGCUCGCCCCACAGUACAAGAAGGUCGGCUUUUCGCUUAAUCGUGCCCGAGGGAAGAAAAGGGAGAAAAGAAAAGUCUGGUCCCCUCUUUUUUUCAUUCUUUCCUUUCCUACUCACACUCACACUACAGUUAAAUGUCCGCAUCUGGCAUCUCUGCAAUUGCAAAGAGCCAAUCAGCCAAGUCAAGGCGAAAGCGGCAGAAGUCGACUGUGAACUUGUGAAUGCAAAAUGUUAAGUCAUUAAAACAACAUUGUGUGCAGAAUCUUGAAUAAAGAAAAAGCGGUACCAGAUCCGAGAUCGACUUGACAAGUCUAUAGAAUGUCUAUGAUUAACAAAUAAACAAAUCACGCCACUUCAGUACAUCUUCUUACCUUUAUUGAUGCUCCGGUUCCAGUAGACUUGUCUUUUUAUUUAGUCUUUUUAAUUUGUGUGCAGAAAAAAGAAUCA
Long non-coding RNA from Daphnia pulicaria, 2316 nucleotides. RefSeq lists it as uncharacterized. Lineage: Eukaryota; Metazoa; Arthropoda; Branchiopoda; Diplostraca; Daphniidae. The transcript has 4 exons. The record is from RefSeq and is a predicted model, not a curated record.